GAAAUGCGAUAAGUAGUGUGAAUUGCAGAAUUCAGUGAAUCAUCGAAUCUUUGAACGCAUAUUGCGCCCCUCGGUAUUCCGUGGGGCAUGCCUGUUUGAGUAUCAUGAAAUCUUCAAAGUAAAUCUUUUGUUAACUCAAUUGGUUUCUACUUUGGUAUUGGAGGUCUUUGCAGCUUCACACCUGCUCCUCUUUGUUCAUUAGCUGGAUCUCAGUGUUAUGCUUGGUUCCACUCGGCGUGAUAAGUUAUCUAUCGCUGAGGACACUGUAAAAGGUGGCCAAGGUAAAUGCAGAUGAACCGCUUCUAAUAGUCCAUUGACUUGGACAAUACUUUUAUGAUCUGAUCUCAAAUCAGGUAGGACUACCCGCUGAACUUAAGC
Molecule: unclassified non-coding RNA, 378 nt
Filed under: plant metagenome
Description: partial contains 5.8S ribosomal RNA, internal transcribed spacer 2, and large subunit ribosomal RNA
Rfam family: 5.8S ribosomal RNA (bases 1-105)
Source: RNAcentral